CCCCGCACCGCUCGUUUCCCGCAGUGAAACGAAACCAAAACCGAACCCAACGCGGAAAGGGGCGGUGGGCGUGGCCUCACAUAAACCCCGCCCACUUCAGGUCACGCCCACUUUCUCGAGCCACGCCCCCCUUCAGGCACCGCCUCUGCGGUUGGCCUAACGGCGUAGGCCACGCCCCCAUUUUAGGCCACGCCCCUUUCAGCCCCGGUUCCCGUUUGUCCAUCCUGGCUUUGGCCCCGCCCCCGCUUUAGGCCCCGCCCCCUUUCAGGUCCCACAUCCGCCUCCACGCAGGCCACGCCCUCCUUUAAGGCCACGCCCCCGUUAAAAGCCCCGCCUCUGCGGUUGGUCCUCCUCUCCGUAGACCCCGCCCCCCGCCUUAGGCCCCGCCCCCUUCUGGGCCCGACUCCUCCGCUGAUUCGCCUCCUCUUCGGCCCCGCCCCCUACGCCGGCCCCGCCCCCUACGUCGACCCCGCCGCUCACGUCGGCCCCGCCUCCAUUCAGGCCCCGCCCACUGCGCGGAGCGGAGCGGCGCUGAGCGGUGAGCGGCUGCGGGCCGGCGGUUCGUUGUGGGUCGGCGGCUCCUUAUGGGGCCGCGGUUCGUUAUGGGGCCGCGGUUCGUUAUGGGGCCGCGGUUCGUUCUGGGGCCGGCGGUUCGUUGUGGGGCGGCGGCUCCUUGUGGGGUCGGCGGCUUCUUGUGGGGCGGCAGUUCUUUCUGGGGCCGGCGGCUCCCUAUGGGGUCGGCGGCUCCUUAUGGGGCCGCGGUUCGCUGUGGGGCCGCAGUUGGUUGUGGGGGCGCAGCGCGGCCCCCUGAGCGGCGGUGCGCUGGGAGGCGGCGCCGCGCGGGGGUCGGGCGGCCGUUCGUCCCCGCCUUGGGGCGCCCCGCGCCGGGCGGCGCCGCUACGCGAGGCCGGGGAUCGGGGGGGCGGUGCGGGCCGCGCGUGGGCCGCGGGGAUUUACGGGCAAAGCGGAUUAAACGCAGCCCCACAACAGCAGCACCGCCCCGCCCCCACCGGGCGCACGGCGCCGCACCGCGUGACGCUGCGGG
Molecule: long non-coding RNA, 1045 nt
Filed under: Phasianus colchicus (ring-necked pheasant)
Lineage: Eukaryota; Metazoa; Chordata; Aves; Galliformes; Phasianidae
Description: lncRNA (ENSPCLG00000014109.1)
Source: RNAcentral